CCUACGGGAGGCAGCAGUGGGGAAUUUUGGACAAUGGGCGAAAGCCUGAUCCAGCAAUGCCGCGUGAGUGAAGAAGGCCUUCGGGUUGUAAAGCUCUUUUGUCAGGGAAGAAACGGUGAGAGCUAAUAUCUCUUGCUAAUGACGGUACCUGAAGAAUAAGCACCGGCUAACUACGUGCCAGCAGCCGCGGUAAUACGUAGGGUGCAAGCGUUAAUCGGAAUUACUGGGCGUAAAGCGUGCGCAGGCGGUUUUGUAAGUCUGAUGUGAAAUCCCCGGGCUCAACCUGGGAAUUGCAUUGGAGACUGCAAGGCUAGAAUCUGGCAGAGGGGGGUAGAAUUCCACGUGUAGCAGUGAAAUGCGUAGAUAUGUGGAGGAACACCGAUGGCGAAGGCAGCCCCCUGGGUCAAGAUUGACGCUCAUGCACGAAAGCGUGGGGAGCAAACAGGAUUAGAUACCCUGGUAGUCCACGCCCUAAACGAUGUCUACUAGUUGUCGGGUCUUAAUUGACUUGGUAACGCAGCUAACGCGUGAAGUAGACCGCCUGGGGAGUCGGUCGCAAGNUUAAAACGUCAAAUGAGUAGAGNGNGAGAGNGCGAGGACGACGACGAGGGAGAGG
Molecule: ribosomal RNA, 616 nt
Filed under: uncultured bacterium
Lineage: Bacteria
Description: bacterial SSU rRNA
Rfam family: Bacterial small subunit ribosomal RNA
Source: RNAcentral